UACAGAGGUCCCGAGCGUUGUUCGGAUUCACUGGGCGUAAAGGGUGCGUAGGCGGUUGGGUAAGUCUGAUGUGAAAUCUCCGGGCUCAACCCGGAAAUGGCAUUGGAUACUAUUCGGCUAGAGGUUUGGAGGGGGGACUGGAAUUCUCGGUGUAGCAGUGAAAUGCGCAGAUAUCAGGAGGAACACCGGUGGCGAAGGCGGGUCUCUGGGCAACAACUGACGCUGAGGAGCGAAAGCGUGGGGAGCGAACAGG
RNAcentral lists this ribosomal RNA (253 nucleotides) under uncultured bacterium. RNAcentral describes it as "partial 16S ribosomal RNA". It matches the Rfam family "Bacterial small subunit ribosomal RNA", at positions 524 to 776 of the family's 1533-position model. The record is from RNAcentral.